CAGUAGCCGCGGUAAUCCGAAGGGGGCUAGCGUUGCUCGGAAUGACUGGGCGUAAAGGGCGCGUAGGCGGAUUGCGCAGUCAGAUGUGAAAUUCCUGGGCUUAACCUGGGGGCUGCAUUUGAGACGGGUAUUCUAGAGUGGAGAAGAGGGUCGUGGAAUUCCCAGUGUAGAGGUGAAAUUCGUAGAUAUUGGGAAGAACACCGGUGGCGAAGGCGGCGACCUGGUCUUUUACUGACGCUGAGGCGCGAAAGCGUGGGGAGCAAACAGGAUUAGAUACCCCAGUAGUCCCUGUCUCUUAUAC
This 301-nucleotide ribosomal RNA is filed under the name uncultured bacterium. RNAcentral's name for it is "partial 16S ribosomal RNA". It matches the Rfam family "Bacterial small subunit ribosomal RNA", at positions 509 to 807 of the family's 1533-position model. The record is from RNAcentral.